This 621-nucleotide ribosomal RNA is filed under the name uncultured archaeon. Its description in RNAcentral is "bacterial SSU rRNA". It matches the Rfam family "Archaeal small subunit ribosomal RNA", at positions 203 to 824 of the family's 1478-position model. The record is from RNAcentral.
CAGAGGAUGGGUCUGCGGCCUAUCAGGUAGUAGUGGGUGUAGCGUACCUACUAGCCUACGACGGGUACGGGUUGUGAGAGCAAGAGCCCGGAGAUGGAUUCUGAGACACGAAUCCAGGCCCUACGGGGUGCAGCAGGCGCGAAAACUUUACAAUGCCGGCAACGGCGAUAAGGGGACCUCGAGUGCCAGGUUACAAAUCUGGCUGUCGUGAUGCCUAAAAAGCAUUGCAUAGCAAGGGCCGGGCAAGACCGGUGCCAGCCGCCGCGGUAACACCGGCGGCUCGAGUGGUAACCGUUAUUAUUGGGUCUAAAGGGUCUGUAGCCGGCCGGAUAAGUCUCUUGGGAAAUCCAGCAGCUCAACUGUUGGGCUUUCAGGAGAUACUGUCUGGCUCGAGGCCGGGAGAGGUGAGAGGUACUUCAGGGGUAGGGGUGAAAUCUUGUAAUCCUUGAAGGACCACCAGUGGCGAAGGCGUCUCACCAGAACGGACCUGACGGCAAGGGACGAAAGCUAGGGGCACGAACCGGAUUAGAUACCCGGGUAGUCCUAGCCGUAAACGAUACUCGCUAGGUGUCGGCCACGGUGCGACCGUUGUCGGUGCCGUAGGGAAGCCGUGAAGCGAGC